RNAcentral lists this long non-coding RNA (332 nucleotides) under Rattus norvegicus (Norway rat). RNAcentral's name for it is "long non-coding RNA NONRATT000622". The record is from RNAcentral. Lineage: Eukaryota; Metazoa; Chordata; Mammalia; Rodentia; Muridae.
CUCAGCUGUUCGAGUUCCCUUCAGCUACAUGAAAGAACCCACACUGGAGAGAAACCCUACGAGUGUAAGCAAUGCGGUAAGGCCUUCAGAGGUCAAAGUUCCCUUAGAAGACACGAAAGGAUCCAUGCCGGAGAGAAACCCUACGAAUGUAAACAGUGUGGUAAGUCCUUCAUUUAUCCGUGCUACCUUCAAAUGCACGAGAGAUCCCACACCGGAGAGAAACUCUACAAAUGUAACAUGUGCAGUAAAGCCUUUCUUUAUCCCUGUUUCCUUCAAAUGCACGAAAGAACUCACACGGGCGAAAAGCCUUAUAAAUGUAAGCAGUGCGAGAA